GCACGCUGAGGUGUCUGGAAUCAUAAAAUCAUAGAAUCAUUACAGAAUAGGCCUCACUCAGGCUGUUAGUCUGAAUCUCUGCAGAGCUACACGGUUUCAUACAAUCAAGCAUCCCAUCUGCUAUUGUUAUUAAAGGGCUCUCAGUCUGACAAAGGGGAGAGGCCCGUGCCGUAGCACGUUCAAGUCUCAUCCCACACUCUUGACAUCGCUUUGGCCCCUCCCGGUUACGUUACCACUGGAGCAUCCAGAAAUUCACAAGCGAGCAGCUCCGUGCCAGGAUCUCCACCAAGUGCAGGGCAUUGUGUACUUGGCUCACCCACCGCCUGCAGUGCCAGGUCCUGAGGCAAGAGGCAGGUUGUGCUCCAGACACCAGCAGCAAGGCACCUCCAUGCUCUCCUGGGAGCUCUCCUAGCACAUGACACGGAGCCUCACCAGCUUGGCCAGAAAAAAAAAAAUAUAAUAAUUAGGCAAGGAAACUGGGAUAAGUGGAGCUGUAGCUAGCAAGCAACCCCAUGUAACUCCCCUGAAGCUAUAAAAAGACAAGAAAGAUUAAUAGUUGUAUGACUCAGCAUUACAGGGUUUUUUGAGUCACAGGAUCAGAGGCAACACUAGGAAACCAUGUGCUGGAGAAGGAAAGAGACAGAAUAACGCAAUACAAAGUAAUGUAAAUGGAAUUUGUAUUCCAGAGUUCUCUGGCCUGAAAAAUGGAAACCCCUUUUUUUACCAUUUUGGCUAUAAUCUUUGUGGAGAAAGAAAGAAAGAAAAAGAAAGAAAGAAAGAAAGAAAGAAAGAAAGAAAGAAAGAAAGAAAGAAAGAAAGAAAGAAAGAAAGAAAGGAAGGAAGAAAAAGAAAAAGAAAGAAAGAAAGAAAGAAUUGUCUCUUCAAUAGAGAACCACCAGUUAUUGUCAGCAAUGUUUUGUUAGGCUGUCCUAUAUUUCUGGGCUCUCUCUGUUCCUGCUUCAACUUGUCCUCUUCUGAUGAUCACUGGGAAUUAGCCGUGUUGUUUAAGAUCUGAUGUUGCAACCAGAACAUGAGUGAUUCAUUUAUGAAAAAAGUUGAUGAGAUUCAGGCUUCUAAUGGUAUUUCCAUUAACCAAGAAUUGAAGUACUCUUAACAGGCCAGGACUUGAGUAAAGAUAAACACAGAUACUCAAAGUGAACACAAAUACUUUAAACACAGAAAAGAAUUAGAACUUGUGUCCCAUGCUACUUACCCAGAAGACCUUCUGAUGUGGAUUUAUGGCUGUGGUCACAAUACUUUCUUCUCUGUUUUUUCUCAAAAGAAAGAUUUUUCAAGAACUAAAUGAAUUAAAAUCAUAGGGAGUGUUGAAAUGAAAAUAUUGUCCAUACAUCUAGAUGCAAAUACAUCUUAUAUAGUAUCUGAUAGUUCUUACAGAGGUCUGAUCUAAUUCCAUCAGAUUAGGUUAUCUGAUGUUUAGUUUGUCUUGAGUUUGGAUCUCCAGGGUAGAUUCUGGGCUCCAAAUAACAUAAUUAGCUUGCAAAAGAGCACCAGCUUCUCAGCAGUUCACUGUCAUUUUCUGAAAUGUGUUUCCUGAGAGUCUUAUGAAGAUCUUUGACUCCCAAUAAAUUCAAAGCUGUGUGUCAGUUGCCAAAUAUAUUGUAAAAAGAUGGGAAUUUCAUGCAUCAGUCUUUUUGAGAGUAAUCUACUUCUACAAUUUCUUGACUCUUAUCUCAGUAUUUCUAACAUUUUUGGUCCAACAGAAUAAAGAUCAUAUUUUAUUCUGGUUGCUAAAUUUUGGCUAUAUAUUAUUAGACAGUUCAGUAGUAAUUUGACAUGCUUGUAACCAGAACAUGGGCCAAAAUGAGUAAUGUUUUGUCAUCAGAGAAUUUCUGCUGCUUCAGAAGAAGUGAUCUCACCUUCAUAGUUAGCAAUGAUCUUAUAUCUUAUGUCUUCAGACAAAACUUGGUCUCUUCUGGUCACGCUAAAGGAGUGGCACAUUUACUAUUUGCUCCUUAAGCAGAAUCUCAGUUGCCCUGGCUUUCUCUUUUGCUGCAUAAUAAAGAAGGACUGCAUUCAAA
Long non-coding RNA from Cygnus olor (mute swan), 2039 nucleotides. RefSeq lists it as uncharacterized. The record is from RefSeq and is a predicted model, not a curated record. Lineage: Eukaryota; Metazoa; Chordata; Aves; Anseriformes; Anatidae. The transcript is spliced from 2 exons.